UCCGGUUUGGCACCGGCAGACUCCCUAGAGUUCCCGGCAUGACCCGCCAGCAACUAAUGACAAGGGUUGCGCUCGUUGCGGGACUUAACCCAACAUCUCACGACACGAGCUGACGACAGCCAUGCAGCACCUGUGUUCCCGUUCCCUUUCGGGCACACCCGGCUUUCACAGGGCUCCAGGACAUGUCAAGGGUAGGUAAGGUUUUUCGCGUUGCAUCGAAUUAAUCCACAUAAUCCACCGCUUGUGCGGGUCCCCGUCAAUUCCUUUGAGUUUUAACCUUGCGGCCGUACUCCCCAGGCGGUCAACUUCACGCGUUAGCUGCGGUACUGAGAAAUCGCUUCCCCAACACCUAGUUGACAUCGUUUAGGGCGUGGACUAC
RNAcentral lists this unclassified non-coding RNA (379 nucleotides) under uncultured Gammaproteobacteria bacterium. RNAcentral's name for it is "contains 16S-23S intergenic spacer region". Lineage: Bacteria; Pseudomonadati; Pseudomonadota; Gammaproteobacteria. The record is from RNAcentral.